Molecule: ribosomal RNA, 595 nt
Filed under: Leprocaulon nicholsiae
Lineage: Eukaryota; Fungi; Ascomycota; Lecanoromycetes; Leprocaulales; Leprocaulaceae
Description: SSU rRNA
Rfam family: Bacterial small subunit ribosomal RNA
Source: RNAcentral
AGCAGUGGGGAAUCUUGGUCAAUAGCCUAACGGCUGAACCAGCAACUUGAUGGAAUGUAUAGCGAAAGCUAAUUGUAUUAAAUAUAUACAAUACCGAUUUAUUCGGCUAAAAUUCUGGGUAGAGUUUUGAUUAUGACAUUAUCUAUCUAUAUGUCUUGACCAAAUUCUGUGCCAGCAGUCGCGGCAAUACAAAGAAGACUUGUGUUAUUCAUGUUAAGUCGGUUUAAAGGGUAACUAGACGGUAAAUCAAGCCUAAUUGGGACUAAUUUACUAGAGUUUAAUAUAAGGGAGCAUAAAAGUACUGAUAGGUGUAGAGAUGAAAUUCGUUGAUACCAUAUAUGGCACAGGUUUAGGCGAAAGCAUCUCCUUAUGUAAAAACUGACGUUGAGGGACGAAGGCUAUGUGCAGCAAACAGGAUUAGAUACCCUAGUAGUCUUAGCAGAAAAUGAUGAAUGUUAUAGGGUAGCAGAGAUUAUAUUUACACUAUAGUCUAUUAUUCUAUAAAUGAAAGUGUAAGCAUUCCACCUCAUGAGUAAUUUGGCAACAUUGGAAUUGAAAUCAUUAGACCGUUUCUGAUACAAGCAGUGAAGUAUGU